AGCCCACUAGCUAGCUUGCCUCCUAAAACACAACAAUCCACUAUACCUACCCCCUAACAAGACCUACACACAACAUAGGCCAAACCAUUUUUCCCCCCUAGUAUGGGCGACAGAAAAGGACUAACAAAGCAACAACACCAGUACCGUAAGGGAACGCUGAAAGAGAAAUGAAACAAAUCAGUAAAGCACAACAAAGCAGAGCCUAGCCCUCGUACCUUUUGCAUCAUGAUUUAGCAAGAAAACAUCGAGCGAAGAGAAUUUUAGUUUGAUACCCCGAAACCAAGGGAGCUACUCCAAGACAGCCUCUAAGGGCACACCCGUCUCUGUGGCAAAAGAGUGGGAAGAUCUUCGAGUAGAGGUGACAGACCUACCGAACUUGGUUAUAGCUGGUUGCUCAGGAAAUGAAUAGGAGUUCAGCCUUUUGUCUUCUUUCCGCACAACGCAGCUAUACUGACAAGCGCUUAAGAACAGACAAUAGAGUUAGUCAGAGGGGGUACAGCCCCUUUGAAAGAGAGACAACUUUUAUAGAAGGGUUAGGAUCACAUCACUCAUUUAAGGGAACGUGUUCUAGUUGGCCUAAGAGCAGCCAUCCACACAGAAAGCGUUAAAGCUCAGACAUUCCCCACCCCUAUUAUUUAGACCACCCAAUCUUACCCCCCUAAACACACUGAGCCUUCCCAUACCCCUAUGGGAGAGAUUAUGCUAAUAUGAGUAAUAAGAGAUCUCGCAUCUCUCCCCGCACAAGUGUAAAUCGGAACGAACUGACACCGAAAAUUAACGGCCCCAACAAGAGGGCACCGAACUAUUAUGGCCAGGCCACUAGAAAACCAUUCACCUUGCCAAACCGUUGACCUUACACUAGGGUGCAUUUAGGGAAAGACUAAAAGGAAGAGAAGGAACUCGGCA
Molecule: ribosomal RNA, 906 nt
Filed under: Ostorhinchus kiensis (rifle cardinal)
Lineage: Eukaryota; Metazoa; Chordata; Actinopteri; Kurtiformes; Apogonidae
Description: partial 16S rRNA
Rfam family: Bacterial large subunit ribosomal RNA (bases 194-906)
Source: RNAcentral